AUGCUGGUUAAACCGCCGUAUUGGUGGAGAGCUCAGUCUCCCAAUCUGCAUCAGUCAAGACGGAGGUCCUUGCCUUCCUAUUCCCCUCCAUCAGGCAGUAUUUUUGUGAAGCAUCAUCGUCGAACCUGCCAUCGCUGCCUGGAGCGGGGACAUCACAAGAUUGAUUGUCGUGACCCCUACAAAUGUCUGAUUUGUCGAAAGAGUGGGCAUCGUGCACGCCAGUGCGCAAAAAAAUCACCGCCGCCAGUGCAAGACCGCCUCCCACCGCCGCCAAUGAUUCCGCCGUCCACACUGGCAGAAGCUGAGGGGAGGAUUCUGUGCCGCCCACAUAGUGGCCAUGACGAUCCGGUCUGCUGGGUUGAUGUCUGUGGCAGGGACGACGGGCGCGAUGGCCACCAACACUCCAGCGCUCCCGCUAGGCGUGACAACGAUCGAGGCCAAGGCUCUCGCUACGGUCGGUGCCGAGAUGACUACGACGACAAGGGUGACAUGCGUCGUGGCCUGGAGCUCCCAAUCCUCGAUGCCCGGCGAAUCGACAGAGGCUGUGUUCAACGACUUCCCGAUGGUGCUUUUAUCCCGGCUAUGGGCAGGAGGUCCCGAAACCGCCCAGCAGACAGGCCGGCGAGGUGCGUGCGCCGAAGAAACAGGACUACCAGCCCGCACAACUUUGAGAAUCGUGGUCGAUCGCCGCUGCCUUCUCCCCGCACUACUCACCAAGACAUCAUCGAGCUGAGACCUUCCCCGACUGGCUGA
This 753-nucleotide ribosomal RNA is filed under the name Triticum aestivum (bread wheat). RNAcentral describes it as "partial small subunit ribosomal RNA". Lineage: Eukaryota; Viridiplantae; Streptophyta; Magnoliopsida; Poales; Poaceae. The record is from RNAcentral.